Esox lucius (northern pike) is the source of this 2003-nucleotide long non-coding RNA. Lineage: Eukaryota; Metazoa; Chordata; Actinopteri; Esociformes; Esocidae. The record is from Ensembl.
UUCCUUUUUGAUUCCCUCUUUAUUUUCAGAAAACAAUAUUUCACCAACAGUCACAGUUUCUGGCCUACACUAGUCCGGUGAGCAUUGUGAUGCCAUCCACACACCAGACAGAACAGGCCAACAUACACAUAUCAUACAUACCUCACACGAAAUCCGCCUCCUCAUUUUAAUACAGACUUAUUUACCCCACCCCUUAAUUAGGUACAAGUUAACAUUCAUUUCUUAUCAACGGUCUUGGUACCUAUUCAAGCACGGGUAACAUUUCAAGAAAUAAAAUAUAAUACUGAGGGAAUGGGGGAAAGUGAGAUGUAAAAAUAUAUCUGCACCUGCCCUGUGUUAUUAGUCCACAAAGUAUUUUAACAGGUCAUGAUAAAAGUUGAACAUACAUUUAUGAGUGAGAGAAGUCAGAGAUUUGAAAAGAAGAUAAGUAUCCUAUACUUGACUCAUCAUGUAUUCAUUAAUGCACCCACACAUGCCUGAAAGCUGUGUAGAAAUUCUACUUUCAUCCCCCAUUUUUUAAUCAGGCUCAGACAACAUGCAACCUACUGAAAUCAUGGCUUUCCCCUAUUCCAUAUACAGGUUAUCACAAUACACAGUUAAAUGGAUUGUCUAACACAACCGGUUUUUAUAUAGUCGUAGUUCUGAGCAGAGUGGGAGGGAGAAAGUAAAGAGAUGAAAGUGUCUGCCUUAUGAAAUCUUGUUGAACAGUGACAUUAUGGACUACGCUACGGAGUCCAGCCUGAAAAGACAUUACUGAAUGUAAACUCGACUGGCUAGUUAUGUUUCCCGAUGUUAGUUCAAUGAUUCUUGCAACUCGACGGUUUGCUGAACUGUAACAGUGUGACUGCACUUUUAAGGUCUGUGAAUCACUGGCUAAAAUAAAAGCGGAAACGGAGGUAGUGUGGGAGCCCUAAUACGUCUCCUAAAAAGAAGCCAGUGACUCGAGAAUGAUUUACAGGCGUUUGAAAGUUAAAUACUUAUUAUGUUCACAUUGGAAUUGGCUCAAAGGGCAAAAACCUGAGUAUAAAAUGCUGGUCACACUAACAACACACUUUGUCCCGCGCAGCACCGGCAACAUCCGGUGGUUGAAUUCUGGUGGCUUAACAUUGCGUGGUAAUAACACAAACGCCACUGGGUUCAAACUACUUUGAGGUUUCUGAGGUAAUGUAAACUUGUGGGGUGGUCAAUGGCAUGACCAGUGUGCGAUUUGAAAAUUUUAAAUAUCCUAUCAAGCUUUAAAUAAAGAGCUACAGGAGUAGCCUAAGCAUGAACAAACUACCAGACUGAAGAUGUCAGAUUGUCCUGAAUUGUCUAUAUUCUCCUGGUGCCAACCGAGAAUGUUUUUUCCAAGGCCAAAUAUAACCCAAUGUAAGAAAAUGUUGCUAGAUAUGCAACACAUGGCAUCCUGGGAUUGUUUUUGCAUUCCCCGAAUAUAUAAUUAGCGUUUGGCUGACCAUAUCAAAGUUGUAAACUGUAAAAUUAAACUGACUAGGUUAAGUAACGUAAAUUGUGCAAAACCAGCUCUAAACUCCCAGAGAUUUGCUGUCUUUGAAAAUCUAAAAAGGAAGAUCGUUUUUUCAUAUUGUACUAUAACUCCAUGUGGCUGUAAGGCCUAUUUGUAACAAUUUUUGUAACUGAUGUGGUACAAUAGAAGCAUUCCUCUUUGUGUAACAGGUCUCAUACAUCUAGAAAGACCAAUCAGAUCAUUUGUUUUCAUAAAGCAGGCACUAUCCGAAAACACUAUCUGAACACCACAGAUAAAUAUCCAUGGUCAACGACAGAGGUUAGGGGUCAAAUGGUGUAGAGGGGUCAAGGAGAAAGCUUGAGUGUCAGGGGAGGAGGAAGGCACGUCCCUUUUCUUCCACAGGACAAGAACAUAACAUCUAGGGGCUCCGGGUGCCUACUGUGUUGAAGAAAAAGAAGAGAAACAUACAAACUAUCAAAUCUGCUGCAUGACACAGCGCAGGCAGAAAUAGCAAUGCACUUAAGUAGGCAUCCAUUCA